Molecule: ribosomal RNA, 494 nt
Filed under: uncultured bacterium
Lineage: Bacteria
Description: partial 16S ribosomal RNA
Rfam family: Bacterial small subunit ribosomal RNA
Source: RNAcentral
GAUGAACGCUGGCGGCGUGCCUAAUACAUGCAAGUCGAGCGAACGGACGAGAAGCUUGCUUCUCUGCUGUUAGCGGCGGACGGGUGAGUAACACGUGGAUAACCUACCUAUAAGACUGGGAUAACUUCGGGAAACCGGAGCUAAUACCGGAUCAUAUUUUCAACCGCAUGGUUCAAAAGUGAAAGACGGUCUUGCUGUCACUUAUAGAUGGAUCCGCGCUGCAUUAGCUAGUUGGUAAGGUACCGGCUUACCAAGGCAACGAUGCAUAGCCGACCUGAGAGGGUGAUCGACCACACAAGAGCUAAGACGCGGUCCAGACUCCUGCGGGAGGCAGCAGGGAAUCUUCCGCAAUGGGCGAAAGCCUGACGGAGCAACGCCGCGUGAGUGAUGAAGGUCUUCGGGUCGUAAAACUCUGUUAUUAGGGAAGAACAUAUGUGUAAGUAACUGUGCACAUCUUGACGGUACCUAAUCAGAAAGCCACGGCUAACUACGUG